AUGUCUCAUGAUUUUAAUUUUGCUAAAUUUCGUAGACAACCCUAUGAUAAAGAAUUGCCUAGUAAAGAUGAAACUAUUGGUCUUGCUUCUAUUGCCGUGCCUCCUAAUGAUCCUUUAGAACAAUAUUUGGUAGACCAUGAAAAUGAUAUGUUUAUGAAUGAAAGAAGGGAAAUCGAUGAAGUAUUCUGUAAACAGGGACCUAUUUUGAAACACAACUUGCCUGUUCAAAUUUUAGGGGAUCCUCCUCCACCCAAGGGUGAUCCCGUGUUUGAGCUUAAACCAUUACCCAGUACUCUUAAAUAUGCUUAUCUUGAUGAAAAGAAGAUAUAUCCUGUUAUUAUUAGUGCUAGCCAUUCAGAGCAGGAAGAAGAUAAAUUAUUGAAAACUCUCAAGAAGCACCAUGCUGCUAUUGGAUAUACUCUUGAUGAUUUUAAGGGCAUUAGUCCCACUCUAUGCCAGCACAAAAUAAAAUUGGAGAAAGAUGCUAAACCGGUUGUUGAUCACCAACGACGGUUAAAUCCUAAGAUGAAAGAAGUGGUAAGAAAUGAAAUACUGAAGCUUCUGGAGGCAGGUAUAAUUUAUCCAGUUGCUGAUAGUCAGUGGGUAAGUUAUGUCCAUUGUGUCCCCAAGAAGGGAGGUAUUACUGUUGUUCCUAAUGAUAAAGAUGAAUUGAUCCCACAAAGAAUUGUUACAGGUUAUAGAAUGGUAAUUGACUUCCGCAAAUUAAAUAAAGCUACUAGAAAGGAUCAUUACCCUUUACCUUUUAUUGAUCAAAUGCUAGAAAGAUUAUCCAAACAUACACAUUUCUGCUUUCUAGACGGUUAUUCUGGUUUCUCUCAAAUACCUGUGUCAAAAGAGGAUCAGGAAAACACCACUUUUACUUGCCCUUUUGGUACCUUUGCUUAUAGACGUAUGCCUCUUGGUUUAUGUAAUGCACCUGCUACCUUUCAAAGAUGUAUGACUGCUAUGUUCUCUGACUUUUGUGAAAAGAUUGUUGAGGUUUUCAUGGAUGAUUUCUCCGUGUAUGGAACUUCUUUUGAUGCUUGCUUAAGCAACCUUGAUCGAGUUUUGCAGAGAUGUGAAGAAACUAAUCUUGUCUUGAAUUGGGAGAAGUGCCACUUUAUGGUUAAUGAAGGUAUUGCCUUGGGGCAUAAAAUUUCUGAAAGAGGUAUUGAAGUUGAUAAAGCUAAAGUUGAUGCUAUUGAAAAGAUGCCGUGUCCUAAGGACAUUAAAGGUAUUAGGAGUUUCCUUGGUCAUGCUGGUUUUUUAUAG
This 1272-nucleotide ribosomal RNA is filed under the name Triticum aestivum (bread wheat). Its description in RNAcentral is "partial small subunit ribosomal RNA". The record is from RNAcentral. Lineage: Eukaryota; Viridiplantae; Streptophyta; Magnoliopsida; Poales; Poaceae.